Molecule: long non-coding RNA, 526 nt
Filed under: Phoenix dactylifera (date palm)
Lineage: Eukaryota; Viridiplantae; Streptophyta; Magnoliopsida; Arecales; Arecaceae
Description: long non-coding RNA (PDAC_LNC022091)
Source: RNAcentral
CAAUCCUGCAAAAUAUAAAUAUUUUUAUACUUAUAUAUGUAUAAUAUGCUACGAUCUGAAUUAAUAUGCUAUGAUCCAGACAAAUCAAAAUUGUUAUAUUAAACUAUAUUUUGAUUGUGUUGGCUUGUGAUUGAUAUUAUGUUGUAUGCAUGUGCAUAACCUACACCUGUAUAAUUGGAUUUAUGGAUGUGGUGCUGUAGACUAACCUUGUUAAUAUUGGUUGCCCCGUCACGGGCUGGAAACGUGACCGGAUUAGUCUAUAGUUGUAAAUAAAAGGGAUUGAUGUGUGGAUGUGAAAUUGAUUAAAUGAACAUUGACUUUGGGCCGUCUCGUUAUUAUGGGUUUGCCCGUCACAGGCUCUAAGUGUGACAAUGUUGGUUUGCCCGUCACAGGCUCUAAGUGUGACAAUGUUGGUUUGCCCGUCACAGGCUCUAAGUGUGACAAUGUUGGUUUGCCCGUCACAGGCUCUAAGUGUGACACUAUUGGUUUGCCCUGUCACGGGCUGGAAACGUGACCGGAAUUUGGC